RNAcentral lists this ribosomal RNA (134 nucleotides) under uncultured eukaryote. RNAcentral's name for it is "partial small subunit ribosomal RNA". It matches the Rfam family "Eukaryotic small subunit ribosomal RNA", at positions 1651 to 1782 of the family's 1831-position model. The record is from RNAcentral.
CCCUGCCAUUUGUACACACCGCCCGUCGCUACUACCGAUUGAACGUUUUAGUGAGGUAUUUGGACUGGGCCUUGGGAGGAUUCGUUCUCCCAUGUUGCUCGGGAAGACUCCCAAACUUGAGCGUUUAGAGGAAG